This 116-nucleotide ribosomal RNA is filed under the name Pteropus alecto (black flying fox). The record is from RNAcentral. Lineage: Eukaryota; Metazoa; Chordata; Mammalia; Chiroptera; Pteropodidae.
GUCUACGCUCAGGCCACCCUGAACAAGCCCAAUGUCUGAUCUCGGAAGCUAAGCAGGGUCGGGCCUACUUAGUAUUUGGAUGGGAGACCACCUAGGAAGAGCAGGUGCUGUAGGCA